This 29-nucleotide non-coding RNA is filed under the name Homo sapiens (human). Lineage: Eukaryota; Metazoa; Chordata; Mammalia; Primates; Hominidae. The record is from RNAcentral.
ACCACGUGCACCGCGAUGUACUGCGAGGA